UGAGACCUCUUGAUGGCCGCGACCGAUUUUGUCGGUUGAGGAACUUCCGGGCUCCAUAGAGCACGAUGGCGGAUAACGUCCGCCCAGGGCGACCUGAGAGAUAGCGCAGCAGAGAAUAGACCGCCUUACCGGUUUCGGCCGGUGGGUAAGGGUGAAACGGCGGUGUAAGAGACCACCGGGCCGCUGGUGACAGUUGGCCGCAUGGCAAGCCUCAUCGGGAGCAAGGCCAAGCAGAAGGCGUUCGAGGACUGCUCGUCCGAAGCCUUCGGGUAGGCUGCUAGAGCCUGACGGCAACGCCAGGUCGAGAUGGAUGGCCAUCCGUGCCGUUGGCACGACAGAACCCGGGGUAUAAGAGGUCUCACUCU
Molecule: non-coding RNA, 365 nt
Organism: Bifidobacterium adolescentis ATCC 15703
Lineage: Bacteria; Bacillati; Actinomycetota; Actinomycetes; Bifidobacteriales; Bifidobacteriaceae
Rfam family: Bacterial RNase P class A
About the family: Ribonuclease P (RNase P) is a ubiquitous endoribonuclease, found in archaea, bacteria and eukarya as well as chloroplasts and mitochondria. Its best characterised activity is the generation of mature 5'-ends of tRNAs by cleaving the 5'-leader elements of precursor-tRNAs.
Source: Rfam